This 433-nucleotide ribosomal RNA is filed under the name uncultured bacterium. RNAcentral describes it as "partial 16S ribosomal RNA". It matches the Rfam family "Bacterial small subunit ribosomal RNA", at positions 29 to 507 of the family's 1533-position model. The record is from RNAcentral.
AACGAACGCUGGUGGCAUGCCUAACACAUGCAAGUCGAACGAGACCUUCGGGUCUAGUGGCGCACGGGUGCGUAACGCGUGGGAACCUGCCCUUAGGUUCGGAAUAACUCCCCGAAAGGGGUGCUAAUACCGGAUAAUGUCUUCGGACCAAAGAUUUAUCGCCUUUGGAUGGGCCCGCGUUGGAUUAGCUAGUUGGUAGGGUAAAAGCCUACCAAGGCGACGAUCCAUAGCUGGUCUGAGAGGAUGAUCAGCCACACUGGGACUGAGACACGGCCCAGACUCCUACGGGAGGCAGCAGUGGGGAAUAUUGGACAAUGGGCGAAAGCCUGAUCCAGCAAUGCCGCGUGAGUGAUGAAGGCCUUAGGGUUGUAAAGCUCUUUUACCCGGGAUGAUAAUGACAGUACCGGGAGAAUAAGCUCCGACUAACUCCGUG